CCCUUAGAUGUCCUGGGCCGCACGCGCGUUACACUGAUGCAUUCAACGAGCUUAUAACCUUGGCCGAGAGGCCUGGGCAAUCUUGUUAACGUGCAUCGUGAUAGGGAUAGAUUAUUGAAAUUAUUAAUCUUGAACGAGGAAUUCCUAGUAAACGCAGAUCAUCAAUCUGCAUUGAUUACGUCCCUGCCCUUUGUACACACCGCCCGUCGCACCUACCGAUUGGAUGGUCCGGUGAAGCCUCGGGAUUGUGGUUCUUGCCGCUUUAUUGUGGCGUGACCGCGAGAACUUGUCUAAACCUUAUCAUCUAGAGGAAGGUGUAGUCGUAACA
RNAcentral lists this ribosomal RNA (328 nucleotides) under uncultured eukaryote. RNAcentral's name for it is "partial 18S ribosomal RNA". It matches the Rfam family "Eukaryotic small subunit ribosomal RNA", at positions 1470 to 1796 of the family's 1831-position model. The record is from RNAcentral.